This 813-nucleotide ribosomal RNA is filed under the name uncultured bacterium. Its description in RNAcentral is "bacterial SSU rRNA". It matches the Rfam family "Bacterial small subunit ribosomal RNA", at positions 8 to 807 of the family's 1533-position model. The record is from RNAcentral.
AGAGUUUGAUCCUGGCUCAGGAUGAACGCUAGCGGCAGGCUUAACACAUGCAAGUCGAGGGGCAGCAUGAGACAGAGAUUCGUCGAAGUCUUGAUGGCGACCGGCGCAAGGGUGCGUAACGCGUGAGCAACUUGCCCGUUUCAGGGGGAUAACCGGUGGAAACGCCGACUAAUACCCCAUAGUAUUGAGUUUAGGCAUCUUUACUCAAUUAAAGAAUUUCGGAAACGGAUAGGCUCGCGUGACAUUAGCUAGAUGGCGGGGUAACGGCCCACCAUGGCUACGAUGUCUAGGGGUUCUGAGAGGAAGGUCCCCCACACUGGAACUGAGACACGGUCCAGACUCCUACGGGAGGCAGCAGUGAGGAAUAUUGGUCAAUGGUCUGACGACUGAACCAGCCAUGCCGCGUGAAGGUCACGGCCCUAUGGGUCUUAAACUUCUUUUGUAAGGGAGCAAUAAGUCUCACGUGUGGGAUGAUGAGAGUACCUUACGAAUAAGCAUCGGCUAACUCCGUGCCAGCAGCCGCGGUAAUACGGGGGAUGCAAGCGUUAUCCGGAUUUAUUGGGUUUAAAAGGGUGCGUAGGCGGCAUUGUAAGUCAGCGGUGAAAUUUCGGAGCUCAACUUCGAACGUGCCGUUGAUACUGCAGUGCUAGAAUGCGGAUGCCGUGGGAGGAAUGUGUGGUGUAGCGGUGAAAUGCAUAGAUAUCACGAAGAACUCCGAUUGCGAAGGCAGUCCACUGGGCCGCAACUGACGCUGAAGCUCGAAAGUGCGGGUAUCAAACAGGAUUAGAUACCCUGGUAGUCCGCACCGUAAAC